GUCUUUUUGAGUUAAUUUAAAAGUCUGACCUGCCCACUGAGGGUUUAAAUGGCCGCAGUAUUUUAACUGUGCAAAGGUAGCAUAAUCAUUAGUCUUUUAAUUGGGGGCUGGAAUGAAUGGUUGGACGAGGUAAGCGCUGUUUCAUGUAAAUUUGUGUUAGAAAUUUAUGUUUUAGUUAAAAAGCUAGAAUAAUAUUAAAAGACGAGAAGACCCUAUAAAGCUUUAUAUUUUAUAUAGGGUUGAUUUUUUAGGUUUAGUUUAUUUUUGUUGUAUAAUGUAUUUUAUUGGGGUGAUAUUAAAAUUUAAUGAACUUUUAAUUAUUUUUGGUCAUUAAUUUAUGUGUUGAUGAUCUACUAGUAGUGAUUGUUAGAUUAAGUUACUUUAGGGAUAACAGCGUAAUUUUUUUGGAGAGUUCGUAUCGAUAAGAAAGGUUGCGACCUCGAUGUUGGAUUAAGAGAUAGGGUUAGGUGUAGUCGCUUAAAUACUAAGUCUGUUCGACUUUUAAAUUCUU
Molecule: ribosomal RNA, 511 nt
Filed under: Dacus fuscovittatus
Lineage: Eukaryota; Metazoa; Arthropoda; Insecta; Diptera; Tephritidae
Description: partial 16S ribosomal RNA
Rfam family: Bacterial large subunit ribosomal RNA
Source: RNAcentral